This 387-nucleotide ribosomal RNA is filed under the name uncultured bacterium. RNAcentral's name for it is "bacterial SSU rRNA". It matches the Rfam family "Bacterial small subunit ribosomal RNA", at positions 47 to 430 of the family's 1533-position model. The record is from RNAcentral.
CCUAACACAUGCAAGUCGAGCGGUAACAGGAAGAAGCUUGCUUCUUUGCUGACGAGUGGCGGACGGGUGAGUAAUGUCUGGGAAACUGCCUGAUGGAGGGGGAUAACUACUGGAAACGGUAGCUAAUACCGCAUAACGUCGCAAGACCAAAGAGGGGGACCUUCGGGCCUCUUGCCAUCAGAUGUGCCCAGAUGGGAUUAGCUAGUAGGUGGGGUAACGGCUCACCUAGGCGACGAUCCCUAGCUGGUCUGAGAGGAUGACCAGCCACACUGGAACUGAGACACGGUCCAGACUCCUACGGGAGGCAGCAGUGGGGAAUAUUGCACAAUGGGCGCAAGCCUGAUGCAGCCAUGCCGCGUGUAUGAAGAAGGCCUUCGGGUUGUAAUA